This 448-nucleotide ribosomal RNA is filed under the name uncultured Rhodocyclaceae bacterium. Its description in RNAcentral is "bacterial SSU rRNA". It matches the Rfam family "Bacterial small subunit ribosomal RNA", at positions 933 to 1382 of the family's 1533-position model. Lineage: Bacteria; Pseudomonadati; Pseudomonadota; Betaproteobacteria; Rhodocyclales; Rhodocyclaceae. The record is from RNAcentral.
UGGAUGAUGUGGAUUAAUUCGAUGCAACGCGAAAACCUUACUACCCUUGACAUGUCCGGAAUCCCGAAGAGAUUUGGGAGUGCUCGCAAGAGAGCCGGAACACAGGUGCUGCAUGGCUGUCGUCAGCUCGUGUCGUGAGAUGUUGGGUUAAGUCCCGCAACGAGCGCAACCCUUGUCAUUAGUUGCCAUCAUUUGGUUGGGCACUCUAAUGAGACUGCCGGUGACAAACCGGAGGAAGGUGGGGAUGACGUCAAGUCCUCAUGGCCCUUAUAGGUGGGGCUACACACGUCAUACAAUGGAUGGUACAAAGGGUCGCCAACCCGCGAGGGGGAGCCAAUCCCAUAAAGCCAUUCGUAGUCCGGAUCGCAGUCUGCAACUCGACUGCGUGAAGUCGGAAUCGCUAGUAAUCGUGGAUCAGAAUGUCACGGUGAAUACGUUCCCGGGUCUU